UUGACCUCGGAUCAGGUAGGGAUACCCGCUGAACUUAAGCAUAUCAAUAAGCGGAGGAAAAGAAACCAACAGGGAUUACCUCAGUAACGGCNAGUGAAGCGGC
RNAcentral lists this ribosomal RNA (103 nucleotides) under Sawadaea sp. MUMH138. RNAcentral describes it as "partial 28S ribosomal RNA". It matches the Rfam family "Eukaryotic large subunit ribosomal RNA", at positions 1 to 102 of the family's 3401-position model. Lineage: Eukaryota; Fungi; Ascomycota; Leotiomycetes; Helotiales; Erysiphaceae. The record is from RNAcentral.